UGUUGAAACAAUCUCUGUUGAACCAUGUUACAGGAAGUUCACUGGAGUUUGUUUCAACAUU
RNAcentral lists this microRNA precursor (61 nucleotides) under Bos taurus (domestic cattle). RNAcentral describes it as "Bta-Mir-653_pre stem-loop". Lineage: Eukaryota; Metazoa; Chordata; Mammalia; Artiodactyla; Bovidae. The record is from RNAcentral.